This 111-nucleotide transfer RNA is filed under the name Ralstonia solanacearum. RNAcentral describes it as "tRNA-OTHER". The record is from RNAcentral. Lineage: Bacteria; Pseudomonadati; Pseudomonadota; Betaproteobacteria; Burkholderiales; Burkholderiaceae. RNAcentral also lists the same sequence under 1 other name.
UGCGCGGUCGCGCAGCGGAUGGUGUAGCCAGUGGCGCAGCAGGCGGCUGCCCAUGCUGGUGGCGCAGGUGUCGAGCAGCGAGAACAGCGUCGGCGAUUCCUGUCCGCGCAG